This 460-nucleotide ribosomal RNA is filed under the name uncultured bacterium. RNAcentral's name for it is "partial 16S ribosomal RNA". It matches the Rfam family "Bacterial small subunit ribosomal RNA", at positions 338 to 795 of the family's 1533-position model. The record is from RNAcentral.
CCUACGGGUGGCAGCAGUGCGGAAUAUUGGUCAAUGGGCGCGAGCCUGAACCAGCCAAGUAGCGUGAAGGAUGACUGCCCUACGGGUUGUAAACUUCAUUUAUAAAGGAAUAAAGUGAGGCACGUGUGCCUUUUUGUAUGUACUUUAUGAAUACGGAUCGGCUAACUCCGUGCCAGCAGCCGCGGUAAUACGGAGGCUCCGAGCGUUAUCCGGAUUUAUUGGGUUUAAAGGGAGCGUAGAUGGGUUGUUAAGUCAGUUGUGAAAGUUUGCGGCUCAACCGUACAAAUGCAAUUGAUACUGGCAGUCUUGAGUACAGGUGAGGUAGGCGGAAUUCGUGGUGUAGCGGUGAAAUGCGUAGAUAUCACGAAGAACUCCGAUUGCGAAGGCAGCCUACUAAACUGCCACUGACACUGAGGCUCGAAAGUGUGGGUAGCAAACAGGAUUAGAUACCCGAGUAGUC